Long non-coding RNA from Eurytemora carolleeae, 289 nucleotides. RefSeq lists it as uncharacterized. The record is from RefSeq and is a predicted model, not a curated record. Lineage: Eukaryota; Metazoa; Arthropoda; Copepoda; Calanoida; Temoridae. The transcript is spliced from 2 exons.
AGGACUUGUUGAACAGAGUAUCCGUUCAUGAUGCAAUGCAUCACAAUAACAUUACUGCUGCUGGAGCUAUUGAUGCAGAUGAUGAUGAUGAUGAUGAUGAUGAUGCAACUCUCUCGUUCCAUGAUGCUGUAUCUGAUGAGAAAGAAUAUUCCCCUGAUUUCAGGUAUUCUGAUAUAGAUGAACUCUCCCUUGGUUGAGAUUUUACAAGAAUUCUUCACAUUUUUCCAAAAAUGUUUUAAAUUUUUAAAAAUAAAACAUUUAACGAAUAAAAAUUAUUCUUUAUAUUCUA